This 255-nucleotide ribosomal RNA is filed under the name uncultured bacterium. RNAcentral's name for it is "partial 16S ribosomal RNA". It matches the Rfam family "Bacterial small subunit ribosomal RNA", at positions 524 to 776 of the family's 1533-position model. The record is from RNAcentral.
UACGUAGGCAGCAAGCGUUGUUCGGAAUUACUGGGCGUAAAGAGUGUGUAGGCGGUGCUCUAAGUUCGGUGUGAAAUCUCCCGGCUCAACUGGGAGGGUGCGCCGGAAACUGGGGUGCUGGAGCGCGGGAGAGGAAAGCGGAAUUCCUGGUGUAGCGGUGAAAUGCGUAGAUAUCAGGAGGAACAGCCGGCGGUGUAGACGGCUUUCUGGACCGUAGCUGACGCUGAGACACGAAAGACGUGGGUAGCAAACAGG